CAAGGUACAUAGCCUACCCGGCUAUAACCUCCAACCAUUGUGUACCAAACUUUUGUUGCCUCGGCGGGCUGCCAGCCUACCCGGCUGGCCCCCCUGCGGGAGCCGCCCGCCGAAGGACCUUUCAAACCAGUUCGUUGAUGAACGUCUGAUUUAUUUUCUAAAAAGAAAUA
Molecule: unclassified non-coding RNA, 170 nt
Filed under: uncultured Ascomycota
Lineage: Eukaryota; Fungi; Ascomycota
Description: sequence contains ITS1
Source: RNAcentral